GAUGUGGAGGUUUUUUGCUGGCCGCUUAAAAAAGGGUUCAGCUCCUCUGAAAUACAUUAGCGGGACAAGCCUGUCCAUUCAUUGGUGUGAUAACUAUCUACGCUGUUGAAUGUGAGGCAGUUCAGCUUUCUAACAGUCCUUUGGACAACCUUAUCAUUUUAUGUGACCUCAAAUCAGGUAGGACUACCCGCUGAACUUAA
This 200-nucleotide unclassified non-coding RNA is filed under the name soil metagenome. Its description in RNAcentral is "partial contains internal transcribed spacer 2 and large subunit ribosomal RNA". The record is from RNAcentral.